AUGGGCAGAGGACGCAGCGUCUUCAACUGUGACCUGGAGCCUGGGCCAGAAUGGAGGUCACAGGUAAGGAUGGGGGACCUGAGAGGCCUGGGGGUCCGGGUGAGAAAGAGGUCCCAGGCCUUACCUGAUGGGGCCAGGAGGAAAGUAGGCCUCCUGGAGCUGGACCCUGAGGGCCACAUGACGCUGUGCCAGGAUGGCUGCUGCUUGGGCUGCUCCCUUCUCAUCCCCACCCUCUACGGCCCGGGUCAGGCGCCCUGCCAGCUCUUCUGCAGGGGAAGAGAGAGCCAUCGCAACCCCACACUGGCUACUUCCCCCAGCCCCUCCGGCCACCUGCCUUUACCUUUCUCCAUCAAGUCUCCAGGGCUCCAAGGAAGAUCCACCUUGGGCUUGGGGGCCUUGGGUGUGGGCACUUCAAGGGGACUGGGCGGGGAGACAGGGCGCGUUUCUGGGCCUAGGGCUGGGGGCAAGCUGUCACUACCUAGGAGGAAAGAUGUGGGGUGGGCUGGUGGUCUCUUUGAGAUCUGGCCCCCCACGGAGUACACACCAAGGCCUCUGCUGUCUCACCUCAGGCUUCCAGUACCUUUGUCUCCUCCCUCCUUAGCUCAGCCCAGCCCAUGCCAGGGCCUUGCCUUGGCCCAGUCUUGGGCCUUGCACACCCCAGAGGUCCCUGCUGACUCCACUCAGAGUUGCACUUGGCUCUUUUUUGGGCUCUGGAGUCCUUCUGGCCUCCUUUGCUGCCCAGUCCCACCUGCAGCCCUCCUCCACAGGGGCUGGGCCACCUCUCUUGGCCUGUACAAGCCCUCUCAGCCAGCCAAGAAGCUCCCUGGGCCUCACAGCAGAACCAGCGGAAGUCUCCAGGAGUCCUGCAGUCAAGGUGGCCUCCUUCCAGGGAACUCCCGACGUCUCUCCUGGCUCUGCCAUCAGCACAGAGCACUCUGGGCUGAUCCCAUUCCAAACAACCCCUCUCCAGCUGGUGCUUGCCCUGAGCGUGCAACCGGCUCCCUUUCUUACCUCCCACUUACGCCCUGCCCAUGUGGUGCAGAUGCAGUUCCUUUGCUUCAAUAUUCUGAGCCAUCUGCCCACUCACAUAAGCAGGGCUCCCGAGCACCCAGCACCAGGCCUGCCUGGACUCUCUAA
This 1137-nucleotide long non-coding RNA is filed under the name Bos indicus x Bos taurus (hybrid cattle). RNAcentral describes it as "lncRNA (ENSBIXG00005005911.1)". The record is from RNAcentral. Lineage: Eukaryota; Metazoa; Chordata; Mammalia; Artiodactyla; Bovidae.